This is a long non-coding RNA of Paramormyrops kingsleyae, 1144 nucleotides long. RefSeq lists it as uncharacterized. NCBI's taxonomy places the organism in Eukaryota, Metazoa, Chordata, Actinopteri, Osteoglossiformes, Mormyridae. The record is from RefSeq and is a predicted model, not a curated record.
GCCCAAGGCAGACCGGUUCUUAACGUAAUCCAUCAGCAUCCACACACGCCAACGGAAAAGACCCGCUCCAGUCCGGAUUGGAGAUAUCCCCUGCUGGGGUGUUUGAAGGUGACACCUCUGUGAUGGUCUGCUGACUGCAGGUGAUGCUGAGGAGGCCACAGCCGUCGUGGCGGCGGGAAGGUAAAUAAAACCCGCCGUGUGCUGCCUCUUGCCAGCCGGCGCUGCCCUUACCCGCGGUUCCGGGACGGGCGAUCUCUGGGACAGCUUUGUGGGUCCUCCCUUCCUACACGGACACCGUGAGUGUGGACAGUCGCGGACUAAAUAAACCACAUCAGUCUGCUUUCUGUCAUUUUAUGCCAAACAACUCUCAGUGCGUGAUUAAUUUAUUCUAAUUAUCAAAGUGGAUAUUAUCAAUGGAGCAAUGCCAGUUUCCUGCCUGUCUCAAUGGCAAGGGUACAAAAGAAUGGCCCACCCUGCUCUCCCCUAUAUACAUCACACCUACACCCAUUCUCACUCUACAUUUGCAUCCAUUCAUUUGCACUAUGCAUAUGGUCAUUGCACUUUGUCCUGCUUUAUGUACCAUGUACUCUUUAUGUUCCUUUGCUGCAUGAAACUGAGUUUCCCCCUGGGAUGUUAGAGUAUAUCCACACCUGUCAGAGCUGUAUCCUGGCAUCUUCCCUUCCUGGAUUACGGAAGGCUGUACUUGGGACCAAAUUAGACUGAAGAAUGAUGACUGAUGGAUGGAUGGAUGGAUACAGUCUCACUGCACCUGCCUAUCAGGCCAAAUUGAGAUGCUCAGCCGGAACGCAUCCUGAAGGCUAGCACGAAAGAACCGGCCACGUUCAAACAGAAAAAAGAUGGCUGCCUGUCAAGGGGAAUCCAGUAUGAAGCCGAGGAGAAAACAGCUGCCCUUUCAGCUGGAAGGUUCUGACUUUUAUUCAAAUGAGUGACCUUUCAUUUUCCAGCUAUUUUUGUAGUUUAAAAGAAAUCAAAAACAGAAGAUGGAAUGUGAGAGUCUUGGACCACCACAUGGUGAUCCCAUUCUCAACAACUAAAGUAAGAAUCCUGAAUACAUUAGUACUAGUUACUGAAGCAAUAUUAUGAGUGACGUAUGAGGCACAAGACCACUAGAUCUUGUUUUUUU